AACGAACGCUGGCGGCAUGCCUAACACAUGCAAGUCGAACGAGACCUUCGGGUCUAGUGGCGCACGGGUGCGUAACGCGUGGGAACCUGCCCUUAGGUUCGGAAUAACUCCCCGAAAGGGGUGCUAAUACCGGAUAAUGUCUUCGGACCAAAGAUUUAUCGCCUUUGGAUGGGCCCGCGUUGGAUUAGCUAGUUGGUAGGGUAAAAGCCUACCAAGGCGACGAUCCAUAGCUGGUUUGAGAGGAUGAGCAGCCACACUGGGACUGAGACACGGCCCAGACUCCUACGGGAAGCAGCAGUGGGGAAUAUUGGACAAUGGGCGAAAGCCUGAUCCAGCAAUGCCGCGUGAGUGAUGAAGGCCUUAGGGUUGUAAAGCUCUUUUACCCGGGAUGAUAAUGACAGUACCGGGAGAAUAAGCUCCGGCUAACUCCGUG
RNAcentral lists this ribosomal RNA (433 nucleotides) under uncultured bacterium. Its description in RNAcentral is "partial 16S ribosomal RNA". It matches the Rfam family "Bacterial small subunit ribosomal RNA", at positions 29 to 507 of the family's 1533-position model. The record is from RNAcentral.